RNAcentral lists this ribosomal RNA (253 nucleotides) under uncultured bacterium. RNAcentral's name for it is "partial 16S ribosomal RNA". It matches the Rfam family "Bacterial small subunit ribosomal RNA", at positions 524 to 776 of the family's 1533-position model. The record is from RNAcentral.
UACGAAGGGUGCAAGCGUUGUUCGGAUUUAUUGGGCGUAAAGCGCGCGCAGGCGGAUUUAUAAGUCAGUUGUGAAAUCUCGGGGCUCAACCUCGAACUUGCGGCUGAAACUGUGGAUCUUGAAUGUCGGAGAGGGAAGGGGAAUAUCUCAUGUAGGGGUAAAAUCCGUAGAGAUGAGAUAGAACACCAGAGGCGAAGGCGCCUUCCUGGACGAUUAUUGACGCUGAGGCGCGAGAGCAUGGGGAGCAAACAGG